RNAcentral lists this ribosomal RNA (512 nucleotides) under uncultured bacterium. Its description in RNAcentral is "partial 16S ribosomal RNA". It matches the Rfam family "Bacterial small subunit ribosomal RNA", at positions 28 to 507 of the family's 1533-position model. The record is from RNAcentral.
GAUGAACGCUGGCGGCGUGCCUAAUACAUGCAAGUCGAACGAAACUUCUUUAUCACCGAGUGCUUGCACUCACCGAUAAAGAGUUGAGUGGCGAACGGGUGAGUAACACGUGGGCAACCUGCCCAAAAGAGGGGGAUAACACUUGGAAACAGGUGCUAAUACCGCAUAACCAUAGUUACCGCAUGGUAACUAUGUAAAAGGUGGCUAUACUACCGCUUUUGGAUGGGCCCGCGGCGCAUUAGCUAGUUGGUAGGGUAAAGGCUUACCAAGGCAAUGAUGCGUAGCCGAAUUGAGAGGUUGAUCGGCCACAUUGGAACUGAGACACGGCCCAAACUCCUACGGGAGGCAGCAGUAGGGAAUCUUCCACAAUGGGCGAAAGCCUGAUGGAGCAACGCCGCGUGGGUGAAGAAGGUCUUCGGAUCGUAAAACCCUGUUGUUAGAGAAGAAAGUGCGUGAGAGUAACUGUUCACGUUUCGACGGUAUCUAACCAGAAAGCCACGGCUAACUACGUG